GGAAGGUGGAUCCGCGAGGCGCGGAGCCUGCUUGGAAAGCAGUGCGGUCGGCUGAACGCCGAUCGAGGUUCGAGUCCUCCAACUUCCG
This 88-nucleotide transfer RNA is filed under the name Labilithrix sp. RNAcentral's name for it is "tRNA-Ser". The record is from RNAcentral. Lineage: Bacteria; Pseudomonadati; Myxococcota; Polyangiales; Labilitrichaceae.